AGUGAACGCUGGCGAUAGGCCUAACACAUGCAAGUCGAACGGCAGCACAGUAAGAGCUUGCUCUUACGGGUGGCGAGUGGCGGACGGGUGAGGAAUACAUCGGAAUCUACUUUUUCGUGGGGGAUAACGCAGGGAAACUUACGCUAAUACCGCAUACGACCUACGGGUGAAAGCAGGGGAUCUUCGGACCUUGCGCGAUUGAAUGAGCCGAUGUCGGAUUAGCUAGUUGGCGGGGUAAAGGCCCACCAAGGCGACGAUCCGUAGCUGGUCUGAGAGGAUGAUCAGCCACACUGGAACUGAGACACGGUCCAGACUCCUACGGGAGGCAGCAGUGGGGAAUAUUGGACAAUGGGCGCAAGCCUGAUCCAGCCAUACCGCGUGGGUGAAGAAGGCCUUCGGGUUGUAAAGCCCUUUUGUUGGGAAAGAAAAGCAGCAGGUUAAUACCCCGCUGUUCUGACGGUACCCAAAGAAUAAGCACCGGCUAACUUCGUG
This 492-nucleotide ribosomal RNA is filed under the name uncultured bacterium. RNAcentral's name for it is "partial 16S ribosomal RNA". It matches the Rfam family "Bacterial small subunit ribosomal RNA", at positions 29 to 507 of the family's 1533-position model. The record is from RNAcentral.